AGAAAGCAUCAGUGAUUAGGAACGCCACUUCUUCGGCUUUUGCCGAUAUGACACCGAAAAUUACGAAUUUGAUCAGAUUUAGUCUAUUUUCCGGCGCGGCUUGAAAAAAGAAAGAGAGAAGGGUAUUUUUAAUGGUGGUUGGUGGCUGACGACUCGAUGAUAGCGAAUUCCGGCGAGAAAUUCACCGUUUUCCAGCGGGUAUCCACCAUUUCCGGCGAGGUGGAUGGCGAUUCCAGCGAUGAGUGGUUGAUUUUGCAACAUGGGGGAGGGGGAAGGCGCCAGAGAUGGCACUGUUGUUUUGUCGGCGAGCAGCGGCGGGAAAAGGGGAAGAGGGACGAUGGUUGACGGAGAACGGCGACCGGAUGGAGGCAGCAGUGACGCGAUGGCGUUUUCCGGUAGGUAGGGGUAGUUUGGCCGACGAUUUUUGCGAUUUUUCGACGGAAUAGCCAUCGAAAUAGUGACGGCAGUGGCAGAAAAGAUUGGAUCUGACGAGAAUUGGAGUUUUCCAAUCUUUGUAUUCAAAUUCAAAAACUAGCUCAGAUUACCCAAGUCUACAUAAACAAAUCACCAAUCUAUUCCCAACAAAUGUGAAACUUUUCACCCAGUCUAACAAAAGCACCUACAAUGAUACUCAGUAAGUGAAUCCAAACACUCUUACAACUGCAUCAAGUGUCAAAUGUCAAGGUGUAUUGAGAAGAGAAAUAUGUGGCACUUAAAUUUUUGCUCAAGAUUACAUCAACUACUAAUUAUCGUACAACAACAUUUUGGUAAAAAAAAAAAAAACAUUUUGGUUAAAAAAAAAAAAGCAUGGAACUUUGUAUAUAUACUAACAAAAGAAUAUGAGUGCUAAACUAAUUAGCAAAAUUAACAACAAAGAGGAGCGAAAAAAGAGAGAGGAAGAAGCUCUACCUUGUAAACUAAUAAUACAUAAAUAAAGAAAGCUUUCCUAGAAAAUUUACAUUAAGCCCAUCUAGUUUUGCGUUAAAUAGGAAAUGAAAGAAGGGAAGAUGAAAAGACUACAAUCACUUUUCAUCUGACCAACUUUCUAGAUGAUGGAAUGAAUAAUAAUAAAUAAAACAGAAAAGCGUCAAAAAUAUUCUUGAACUAUGUUAAAUGGAUUAAAAAUGCCUCUCAUUAAUUUCUUGGCUUAAAAAUAUCUCUCCAUUAAAUAUUUAGUUCAAAAAUAUCCUUUUUUCUAAUAAAAUUUCACCAAGCAUGCUACAUGUGUAAAAAAGACCACGUGGACAUGUCACAUGAUCGUCCACAUGUAAAAUUCACUCUUUAUUUGCAACCAUUUGGCUGUGAUUUGUUCUCUGUGGAUCCAUUCGUAAGAAUAAGUGUUUAGAACUAAAUUCUUGCGUCGUAUUUUUAGAAUAAUUCGAUGUGAAAAAUUAUUUUCUCCUUCCUUGGUUAGAAAUAACCUGUAUGAUGACUAUAUUUGGAUGUUAUGCUAUGUUUCACUUUUACCAUCAACAUAUGAGAUGAUCUUCUUUAAUCUGCUUAAUCCAGUUUUAAAUUUCUCCUCAUUUCAUUGAUAACAUACAAUUUUUCGUUGGAAUUGAUUGGACUGAAAAAUUGGACAGUUCUUUUUUCGAUUUUAAUGUGCCGAUUCUGUGUUAUUUAUUCAUUUUAUCUGAUCAAGCUUGUUAAAUUUCUUGUUGCUCUAUGUAAGAGUUGAAGAAAGUUCUCAAUAUGUAUACAAAAUAUAGAGUUGAAAAAAGUUCUCUUUGCAUUUUAUAGGACGGGUAGUUUACAUGAAAUGUACAGUCACUUCACUAUUAAGUACACAGUAACAUGAUAAUAGCUUGUGUUUUUUUAUCAAGUUAUCUGGCAUGAAGCACGGUGACCUGACAGUACUGUACCCAAACGUUGGUAGAUGACGGAUAGCAAGAUGUUCCAUUUUUCCCCUCUUAGGCCAAUAACUUUGGCUUGAAAAACAACAAUUUUGAUUUCUUUAUGGCUGGAUCGAUUUCUUUAUAUAAAUCAAACAUUCACAUGUUCUGGUUGUUGCUGCUACUUUUGAAUUUUCUGUUGUUUAAAAGUUUAGACAAAGAUAACUUCCUUAAUUCCAUCCACCUGCCUCUC
Molecule: long non-coding RNA, 2085 nt
Filed under: Capsicum annuum
Lineage: Eukaryota; Viridiplantae; Streptophyta; Magnoliopsida; Solanales; Solanaceae
Description: long non-coding RNA (CANN_LNC016270)
Source: RNAcentral